This 484-nucleotide ribosomal RNA is filed under the name uncultured bacterium. RNAcentral's name for it is "partial 16S ribosomal RNA". It matches the Rfam family "Bacterial small subunit ribosomal RNA", at positions 29 to 507 of the family's 1533-position model. The record is from RNAcentral.
AUUGAACGCUGGCGGAAUGCUUUACACAUGCAAGUCGAACGGCAGCACGGGGGCAGCCCUGGUGGCGCGUGGCGAACGGGUGAGUAAUACAUCGGAACGUGCCCGGUCGUGGGGGAUAACGUAGCGAAAGUUACGCUAAUACCGCAUACGAUCUGAGGAUGAAAGCGGGGGACCUUCGGGCCUCGCGCGAUCGGAGCGGCCGAUGUCAGAUUAGGUAGUUGGUGGGGUAAAGGCCUACCAAGCCGACGAUCUGUAGCUGGUCUGAGAGGACGACCAGCCACACUGGGACUGAGACACGGCCCAGACUCCUACGGGAGGCAGCAGUGGGGAAUGUUGGACAAUGGGCGCAAGCCUGAUCCAGCCAUUCCGCGUGCAGGACGAAGGCCUUCGGGUUGUAAACUGCUUUUGUACGGAACGAAAAGGCUCUGGCUAAUACCUGGGGCUCAUGACGGUACCGUAAGAAUAAGCACCGGCUAACUACGUG